Molecule: ribosomal RNA, 492 nt
Filed under: uncultured bacterium
Lineage: Bacteria
Description: partial 16S ribosomal RNA
Rfam family: Bacterial small subunit ribosomal RNA
Source: RNAcentral
AGUUAACGCUGGCGGUAGGCCUAACACAUGCAAGUCGAACGGCAGCACAGUAAGAGCUUGCUCUUACGGGUGGCGAGUGGCGGACGGGUGAGGAAUACAUCGGAAUCUACUUUUUCGUGGGGGAUAACGUAGGGAAACUUACGCUAAUACCGCAUACGACCUACGGGUGAAAGCAGGGGAUCUUCGGACCUUGCGCGAUUGAAUGAGCCGAUGUCGGAUUAGCUAGUUGGCGGGGUAAGGGCCCACCAAGGCGACGAUCUGUAGCUGGUCUGAGAGGAUGAUCAGCCACACUGGAACUGAGACACGGUCCAGACUCCUACGGGAGGCAGCAGUGGGGAAUAUUGGACAAUGGGCGCAAUCCUGAUCCAGCCAUACCGCGUGGGUGAAGAAGGCCUUCGGGUUGUAAAGCCCUUUUGUUGGGAAAGAAAAGCAGCAGGUUAAUACCCCGCUGUUCUGACGGUACCCAAAGAAUAAGCACCGGCUAACUUCGUG